GUAACGGCGAGUGAAGAGGAAAGAGCUCAAAGUUGGAACCUGUUUGGCUUAGCUAAACCGGAUUGUAAACUGUAGAAGUGUUUUCCAGACACGCCUGGUAAAAAAGUCCUUUGGAACAGGGCAUCAUAGAGGGUGAGAAUCCCGUCUUUGGCCAGAGCUGUUGUCUUUUGUGAUACAUUUUCAAAGAGUCAGGUUGUUUGGGAAUGCAGCCUAAAUUGGGUGGUAAAUCUCACCUAAAGCUAAAUAUUUGCGAGAGACCGAUAGCGAACAAGUACCGUGAGGGAAAGAUGAAAAGAACUUUGAAAAGAGAGUUAAACAGUAUGUGAAAUUGUUAAAAGGGAACCGUUUGGAGCCAGACUGGCUUGACUGUAAUCAAUCUAGGCUUCGGCCUGGAUGCACUUGCGGUUUAUGCCUGCCAACGACAAUUUUUUUUGAGGGAAAAAACUAUUUGGAAUGUGGCCCUCCCUCGGGGGGGUGUUAUAGCCUUUUAGAAAAUACCUUGAAUUGGAUUGAGGAACGCAGUGAAUGCCUUUAGGCAAGAUUGCUGGGCGCUUUCGCUAAUAAAUGCUAGAAUUUCUGCUUCGGGUGGUGCUAGUGUUUAAAGGAGAAACUCGUCUGGUAUAUU
Molecule: ribosomal RNA, 625 nt
Filed under: Helicostylum pulchrum
Lineage: Eukaryota; Fungi; Mucoromycota; Mucoromycetes; Mucorales; Mucoraceae
Description: eukaryotic LSU rRNA
Rfam family: Eukaryotic large subunit ribosomal RNA
Source: RNAcentral